GCUCCAGUGGCGCAGCUGGUUAGCGCUUCGUGCUUAUAGAUUUUAGACUUGAUCAUUCUCUAUGUCAAAGUCACGGUCGUGUGAGGAACGCGACGGUCGUGGGUUCAAUCCCCUCCUGGAGCA
Transfer RNA from Yarrowia lipolytica CLIB122, 123 nucleotides. It matches the Rfam family "tRNA". Rfam says of the family: Transfer RNA (tRNA) molecules are approximately 80 nucleotides in length. Their secondary structure includes four short double-helical elements and three loops (D, anti-codon, and T loops). The record is from Rfam. NCBI's taxonomy places the organism in Eukaryota, Fungi, Ascomycota, Dipodascomycetes, Dipodascales.